RNAcentral lists this ribosomal RNA (195 nucleotides) under uncultured bacterium. RNAcentral's name for it is "partial 16S ribosomal RNA". It matches the Rfam family "Bacterial small subunit ribosomal RNA", at positions 335 to 527 of the family's 1533-position model. The record is from RNAcentral.
ACUCCUACGGGAGGCAGCAGUGAGGAAUAUUGGUCAAUGGGCGAUGGCCUGAACCAGCCAAGUAGCGUGAAGGAUGACUGCCCUAUGGGUUGUAAACUUCUUUUAUAAAGGAAUAAAGUCGGGUAUGCAUACCCGUUUGCAUGUACUUUAUGAAUAAGGAUCGGCUAACUCCGUGCCAGCAGCCGCGGUAAUACA